Schistosoma curassoni is the source of this 44-nucleotide non-coding RNA. Lineage: Eukaryota; Metazoa; Platyhelminthes; Trematoda; Strigeidida; Schistosomatidae. The record is from Rfam.
ACCAGCCGACGAGUUCCAAAUAGGAUGACACGCGCGUCCUAGAU